Molecule: unclassified non-coding RNA, 1909 nt
Filed under: Helicoverpa zea (corn earworm)
Lineage: Eukaryota; Metazoa; Arthropoda; Insecta; Lepidoptera; Noctuidae
Description: luciferin 4-monooxygenase-like, transcript variant X1
Source: RNAcentral
GAUAAUAACACUAUUUCACUCAGUUGUACUCGUGCACUGCCCAUGGUUAAGAUUAAAAUAGUGUUAUUAAAUUAUAAUAGCCAAUAUGGAGGAGUUUAGUUACAGAAAUGAAAUAAUUGAUAAUUAUUUUAAUGAGUUCACGUCUCGAAUUGUGUCUGAGACCGGUAUUGCUAGUGAUAAGUACCAUAUCGGGAAAAUUGUGCUGCAGAGUUUAAAAGAUGAUCCUGAGUUUAUUAUGCAGAUCGAUGGAGCAACAGGAGAAUCAGAAACCAACGGCUCAAUAUUAAGAAGAAGCAUCAAGUGCGCGACUGCCUUCAAGAACUUAGGGCUGAAGACUGGUGACGUCAUAGUUAUCAUGGCUCCUAACCACUUGGAUCAAGCCGUUCCAUUCUACGCUGCUAUGUUCCUUGGGAUUGCUACUUCUCCCAUUGACAGAACUUUAGGAGUUUAUGAAUUGAAACACACUUUAAGCAUCAGCAAGCCCAAAAUGAUAUUCUGUCAAAGUCAAAAAGUGCAAGAUGUCCAAAAAGCUGUUGAACUCUUGGGUCUCGACGCUAAAGUCGUCAGCUUUGAUAGCAGUCCUGACACCAUCACUUUGGCUGAAAUGAUGGAGAAGCAUGGAGAAUGUAUAGCCGUUGAGGAUUUUAGAGCUACAGACUUCGAUCCUGAGGAAACAAUAGGAUACCUGAUAUCUACGAGCGGAACCACUGGGCUGCCAAAAUCCGCCAUUGUUACACAUAAGAACAUAGCGACCAGCGGAAUUUAUAUAUGUUCUUUCGCCAAGAAGUUCCCUCCUACACGUUCUGCGCUUCUGGUGGCUCCUCUGCAAUGGCUGUCUUCUCUCCUCAGUUACAUUUUAUCACCGUAUUAUAAAUAUACGAGGAUACAGACUUCCAACGAGGUCACUAGCGACCACACACUUGAGUUGAUUGAAAAAUAUAAGCCAACUUUCAUGAUCAUCAGUCCAACAAUGAUGACUACUUUAGUGAAGGCAGCUAAAAAGGCAAACGCAGAUCUAACCAGCUUCGAAGUGUUAUACCUUGGAGGAAGUGCCGUGCCCAGGAACCUUGUAGAAGAAUUAAGGAAAAUGGUAUCUCCAACGGCAACAGUAGUGGAUGUCUACGGAAUGAGCGAGAUUGGCUCCUUGACAUUUGAAAGCGCUUGUUCUCCUAUUGGGUCCUCUGGGAGACCGCUCGCACACUUGCAAUAUAAGCUGGUCGAUAUAGAUUCUGGCGAGGAAAUAACAGAACCAUUCAAGCGUGGAGAAUUGUGGCUUAAAGGACCCGGUGGUAUCAAGGGAUAUUACAACAACCCCGAAGCUACGGCAGAGGUUUUAUCCGAAGACAAGUGGUUCAAGACCGGCGACAUGAUGUACAGGGACGAAAGAUGGAACUUCUACUUCGUGGAGCGCAUCAAACUCCUGCUUAAGUAUAGGAAUUAUCAGAUAUCGCCAGUGGAAGUAGAAAACGUGAUUCUGAAGCACCCUAGCGUCCAAGAUGUGGCGGUGACCAGUAUACUCCCUAUCUUCUCCUAUCAAAAAUUAAAACACAUUAUAACUCCUAUUCUAGAUAUCGCCAGUGGAAGUAGAAAACGUGAUUCUGAAGCACCCUAGCGUCCAAGAUGUGGCGGUGACCAGUAUACCUGACGAGGAGUGUGGAGACCUGCCCGUGGCGUGUGUCAUAGUACGCCCAGGGGCUCAGGUUACGGCUCAAGAGAUCAAGGACUUGGUUAAAGAAAAACUGACAGACACAAAACAACUAAGGGGCGGAGUGAUAUUCUUGAAUGAGCUACCACUCACCACCUCCACCAAGUUGCACAGAAGGAAGCUCAAGGAAAUUGCUUUCGAAAGACUGAAAAAUCAAGUGACAGCAUAGAAUACAUAUACCUACAAAUAAAAAAUACCUAAUAA